UUAGAGUUUGAUCCUGGCUCAGGACGAACGCUGGCGGCGUGCCUAACACAUGCAAGUCGAGCGAAUGAAGUUCCUUCGGGAACGGAUUUAGCGGCGGACGGGUGAGUAACACGUGGGCAACCUGCCUCAUAGAGGGGAAUAGCCUUCCGAAAGGGAGAUUAAUACCGCAUAAGAUUGUAGUACCGCAUGGUACAGCAAUUAAAGGAGUAAUCCGCUAUGAGAUGGGCCCGCGGCGCAUUAGCUAGUUGGUGAGGUAACGGCUCACCAAGGCGACGAUGCGUAGCCGACCUGAGAGGGUGAUCGGCCACAUUGGGACUGAGACACGGCCCAGACUCCUACGGGAGGCAGCAGUGGGGAAUAUUGCACAAUGGGGGAAACCCUGAUGCAGCAACGCCGCGUGAGUGAUGACGGCCUUCGGGUUGUAAAGCUCUGUCUUCAGGGACGAUAAUGACGGUACCUGAGGAGGAAGCCACGGCUAACUACGUGCCAGCAGCCGCGGUAAUACGUAGGUGGCGAGCGUUGUCCGGAUUUACUGGGCGUAGAGGGAGCGUAGGCGGAUUUUUAAGUGAGAUGUGAAAUACCCGGGCUUAACCUGAGUGCUGCAUUUCAAACUGGAAGUCUAGAGUGCAGGAGAGGAGAAGGGAAUUCCUAGUGUAGCGGUGAAAUGCGUAAAAGAUUAGGAAGAACACCGGUGGCGAAGGCUCUUCUCUGGACUGUAACUGACGCUGAGGGCUCGAAAGCGGGGGGAGCAAACAGGAUUAAAUACCCUGGUCACUCCCCCCCCGAAAACAAUAAAAACUAGGGGGGGGGGGGGGUUGUCCUU
This 823-nucleotide ribosomal RNA is filed under the name uncultured bacterium. RNAcentral's name for it is "partial 16S ribosomal RNA". It matches the Rfam family "Bacterial small subunit ribosomal RNA", at positions 1 to 840 of the family's 1533-position model. The record is from RNAcentral.